UCGGAUUGGAGUCUGCAACUCGACUCCAUGAAGGUGGAAUCGCUAGUAAUCGCGGAUCAGCAUGCCGCGGUGAAUACGUUCCCGGGCCUUGUACACACCGCCCGUCACACCACGAAAGUCGGUAACACCCGAAGUCAGUGGCCCAACCCUCGGGAGGGAGCUGCCGAAGGUGGGAUCGGCGAUUGGGGUGAAGUCGUAACAAGGUAGCCGUACCGGAAGGUGCGGCUGGAUCACCUCCUNNUGGCA
Molecule: ribosomal RNA, 246 nt
Filed under: Deltaproteobacteria bacterium
Lineage: Bacteria; Pseudomonadati; Myxococcota; Myxococcia
Description: partial 16S ribosomal RNA
Rfam family: Bacterial small subunit ribosomal RNA
Source: RNAcentral